RNAcentral lists this ribosomal RNA (653 nucleotides) under uncultured archaeon. Its description in RNAcentral is "bacterial SSU rRNA". It matches the Rfam family "Archaeal small subunit ribosomal RNA", at positions 1 to 655 of the family's 1478-position model. The record is from RNAcentral.
AGUGCUUUUCCGGUUGAUCCUGCCGGAGGUCACUGCUAUCGGGGUUCGAUUAAGCCAUGCGAGUUGAGAGGGUUUAGACCCUCGGCGGACUGCUCAGUAACACGUGGAUAACCUGCCCUAAGGUGGAGGAUAACCCCGGGAAACUGGGGAUAAUACUCCAUAGAUCAGAGUAACUGGAAUGUUUUCUGGUCGAAAGUUCCGGCGCCUUAGGAUGGAUCUGCGGCCGAUUAGGUAGUUGUUGGGGUAACGGCCCAACAAGCCAGUCAUCGGUACGGGUUGUGGGAGCAAGAGCCCGGAGAUGGAAUCUGAGACACGAUUCCAGGCCCUACGGGGCGCAGCAGGCGCGAAAACUUUACAAUGCAGGAAACUGUGAUAAGGGAACCCCGAGUGCUCGUACACGCGAGCUGUCCAGGUGUGUAAAAAGCAUCUGAAGAAAGGGCCGGGCAAGACCGGUGCCAGCCGCCGCGGUAAUACCGGCGGCUCGAGUGGUGGCCACUAUUAUUGGGCUUAAAGCGUUCGUAGCUGGACUCUUAAGUCUCCUGGGAAAUCCGCCGGCUCAACCGGCGGGCGUCCAGGAGAUACUGGGAGUCUUGGAACCGGAAGAGGUAAGAGGUACUUCGGGGGUAGGAGUGAAAUCCUGUAAUCCUCGAGGG